This is a long non-coding RNA of Vespula vulgaris, 1771 nucleotides long. RefSeq lists it as uncharacterized. The record is from RefSeq and is a predicted model, not a curated record. NCBI's taxonomy places the organism in Eukaryota, Metazoa, Arthropoda, Insecta, Hymenoptera, Vespidae. The transcript has 8 exons.
UCGGCUUGGAGGGACGACAACAAAGACGGUCCUUUGACUUACUUUUACAGUUACCGGUUCAGUUGUGUUUUGGUCUUCGACGAGAGCACUUAGAAAUUUUCGCGGAGGCUGUUCGUGCGAUUAUUAACGAACAGACUAAAGUUGCGGAGUGGGGAGAGUCGGCUUGGAGGGACGACAACAAAGACGGUCCUUUGACAUACUUUUACAGUUACCGCUUCAGUUGUGUUUUGGUCUUCGACGAGAGAACUUAGAAAUUUUCGCGGAGGCCGUCCGUGCGAUUAUUAACGAACAGACUAAAGUAGCGAAGUGGGGAUAGUCGGCUUGGAGGGACGACAACAAAGACGGUCCUUUGACAUACUUUUACAGUUACCGCUUCAGUUGUGUUUUGGUCUUCGACGAGAGCACUUAGAAAUUUUCGCGGAGGCCGUCCGUGCGAUUAUUAACGAACAGACUAAAGUUGCGAAGUGGGGAUAGUCGGCUUGGAGGGACGACAACAAAGCCGGUCCUUUGACAUACUUUUACAGUUACCGCUUCAGUUGUGUUUUGGUCUUCGACGAGAGAACUUAGAAAUUUUCGCGGAGGCCGUCCGUGCGAUUAUUAACGAACAGGUAGUUUAAAUAUAUAUCUGUAUCACUCAUGCUUACAAUAUUCUAUACAGUUUGUUGGAUUUUAGACUAAAGUUGCGAAGUGGGGAUAGUCGGCUUGGAGGGACGACAACAAAGCCGGUCCUUUGACAUACUUUUACAGUUACCGCUUCAGUUGUGUUUUGGUCUUCGACGAGAGAACUUAGAAAUUUUCGCGGAGGCCGUCCGUGCGAUUAUUAACGAACAGGUGAUUUAAAUAUACAUCUGUAUCACACAUGCUUACAAUAUUCUAUACAGUUUGUUGGAUUUUAGACUAAAGUUGCGAAGUGGGGAUAGUCGGCUUGGAGGGACGACAACAAAGCCGGUCCUUUGACAUACUUUUACAGUUACCGCUUCAGUUGUGUUUUGGUCUUCGACGAGAGAACUUAGAAAUUUCCGCGGAGGCCGUUCGAGCGAUUAUUAACGCAGGUGAUUUAAAUAUAUAUCUGUAUCACUCAUGCUUACAAUAUUCUAUACAGUUUGUUGGAUUUUAGACUAAAGUUGCGAAGUGGGGAUAGUCGGCUUGGAGGGACGACAACAAAGCCGGUCCUUUGACAUACUUUUAUAGUUACCGCUUCAGUUGUGUUUUGGUUUCGACGAGAGAACUUAGAAAUUUCCGCGGAGGCCGUUCGAGCGAUUAUUAACGCAGUUUGUUGGAUUUUAGACUAAAGUUGCGAAGUGGGGAUAGUCGGCUUGGAGGGACGACAACAAAGCCGGUCCUUUGACAUACUUUUACAGUUACCGGUUCAGUUGUGUUUUGGUCUUCGACGAGAGAACUUAGAAAUUUUCGCGGAGGCCGUCCGUGCGAUUAUUAACGAACAGGUAGUUUAAAUAUAUAUCUGUAUCACUCAUGGGUACAAUAUUCUAUACAGUUUGUUGGAUUUUAGACUAAAGUUGCGGAGUGGGGAGAGUCGGCUUGGAGGGACGACAACAAAGACGGUCCUUUGACAUACUUUUACAGUUACCGCUUCAGUUGUGUUUUGGUCUUCGACGAGAGAACUUAGAAAUUUCCGCGGAGGCCGUUCGAGCGAUUAUUAACGAACAGACUAAAGUUGCGAAGUGGGGAUAGUCGGCUUGGAGGGACGACAACAAAGCCGGUCCUUUGACAUACUUUUACAGUUACCGGUUCAGUUGUGUUUUGGUCUUCG